RNAcentral lists this long non-coding RNA (326 nucleotides) under Eucalyptus grandis. RNAcentral's name for it is "long non-coding RNA (EGRA_LNC002178)". Lineage: Eukaryota; Viridiplantae; Streptophyta; Magnoliopsida; Myrtales; Myrtaceae. The record is from RNAcentral.
UUCGCUCUAGGUUAAAAAAAAAAGAAAAACACAAUAUAAAGAGAAAAGAAAAGUUUUCUUUUCGCGGGUUCUUCUCGAGAAAAAACAAUUCAAAAAGAGGAAGAGAGAAAGAGGUCGGCAGAAGAGAGGGAGAAAAAAAAAAUAUUCAAAAAGAGGGACUGAAAGAAGAGAGACGCGAGGAAGACAGAGGGAGAGAGAGAAUUGAUAAAAAAGGAAAGAUCCCUCUUCUUCUUCCCCGGGAAGCCUGCUGCCUUCUGCCCGCCGGACGCCUCCGCCUCCGCCUCCGCCUCGCCGCUCCACCCGACGACCCGCGACCCGCUGCUGCC